CCUACGGGAGGCUGCAGUAGGGAAUCUUCCACAAUGGGCGAAAGCCUGAUGGAGCAACGCCGCGUGGGUGAAGAAGGUCUUCGGAUCGUAAAACCCUGUUGUUAGAGAAGAAAGUGCGUGAGAGUAACUGUUCACGUUUCGACGGCAUCUAACCAGAAAGCCACGGCUAACUACGUGCCAGCAGCCGCGGUAAUACGUAGGUGGCAAGCGUUAUCCGGAUUUAUUGGGCGUAAAGGGAACGCAGGCGGUCUUUUAAGUCUGAUGUGAAAGCCUUCGGCUUAACCGGAGUAGUGCAUUGGAAACUGGGGAACUUGAGUGCAGAAGAGGAGAGUGGAACUCCAUGUGUAGCGGUGAAAUGCGUAGAUAUAUGGAAGAACACCAGUGGCGAAAGCGGCUCGCUGGACUGUAACUGACGCUGAGGUUCGAAAGCGUGGGUAGCAAACAGGAUUAGAUACCCGUGUAGUC
RNAcentral lists this ribosomal RNA (465 nucleotides) under uncultured bacterium. RNAcentral describes it as "partial 16S ribosomal RNA". It matches the Rfam family "Bacterial small subunit ribosomal RNA", at positions 338 to 795 of the family's 1533-position model. The record is from RNAcentral.